This 429-nucleotide long non-coding RNA is filed under the name Manihot esculenta (cassava). RNAcentral's name for it is "long non-coding RNA (MESC_LNC002799)". The record is from RNAcentral. Lineage: Eukaryota; Viridiplantae; Streptophyta; Magnoliopsida; Malpighiales; Euphorbiaceae.
UUCAGCCUUCCUUUGCAUGUUUCCUAUGAUUGUUUUAUGAGGUUUUAGGGGGUUUUUGGGGAGUAUUUUAGAGUCAUGUUCAUGUAUGUUUGGUCCCUCAUUUGAGUCCACCUGUGUAGGUUUGGACCCGAGGAACCGAGGACCCCAGCAGUGAGUCAGCUGCUUCAGUUCUUUGUCAGAGUUAGCCUGAGGUGAGUAGAAUAAACUUUAUGUUUUAAACUAAUGCAAGUUUUAGCAUGAAUCAUGCAUCACGAAUGCCAUGUGAUAUAAUAGGUUGUUGCAUUAGAAUCCACGAAUAUGUUGCACUGCAUUCUUUGUUGUGGAUGUGGGUGAAUGCUGUAUGAUCCAAUUAGUCCCUGAGGAAAGACCAGGACCCCAUUCUAUGGCCUGGCACAGUAUGGAACGCGAAGACCAGGUGCCCAGAUGAGG